UACGUAGGGGGGCAAGCGUUGUCCGGAAUCAUUGGGCGUAAAGAGCGUGUAGGCGGCUCGGUAAGUCCGCUGUGAAAGUCCAGGGCUCAACCCUGGAAUGCCGGUGGAAACUGUCGAGCUAGAGUCCGGAAGAGGCGAGUGGAAUUCCUGGUGUAGCGGUGAAAUGCGCGGAUAUCAGGAGGAACACCAAUGGCGAAGGCAGCUCGCUGGGACGGUACUGACGCUGAGACGCGAAAGCGUGGGGAGCAAACAGG
Molecule: ribosomal RNA, 254 nt
Filed under: uncultured bacterium
Lineage: Bacteria
Description: partial 16S ribosomal RNA
Rfam family: Bacterial small subunit ribosomal RNA
Source: RNAcentral